Molecule: long non-coding RNA, 362 nt
Filed under: Junco hyemalis (dark-eyed junco)
Lineage: Eukaryota; Metazoa; Chordata; Aves; Passeriformes; Passerellidae
Description: lncRNA (ENSJHYG00000015267.1)
Source: RNAcentral
CAGCGAUGUUGCGGCAGCUGGUGUCUCUGGUGUCACGGCGGCGACUUGUGUCUGGGCGCGGCUUCCGUGAAGCGCGCUCUGCUGAUGGUUUCUCGACUGGCGCUUACAAGCAGUGGUGUUGUGGGAGCUGGAUCGGCAGUGUUGACACUAUACACUAGUGGCUCUGCAGGCUCGGCGUGCGUGUCUUUCAGAGCUGCACUGCUUUCUAGGCUUCGGCGGUACGUAGAUGGCUUGAGUCACAGAUGUGAUCUUCAAGGGUGCUUUUUUUUUUUUAUAAAUAAACCGGCACCUCCUGGCUGCACAGGACCAUCACCCCACUUCCCGACCAUGGCGAGUUCCCUUUUUCUUUGUAAUCUGAGAAA